AGAGUUUGAUCCUGGCUCAGGAUGAACGCUAGCUAACACAGUCGAACGAAGAUCUAGCUUGCUAGAUCUUAGUGGCGAACGGGUGAGUAAUACAUAAAUAAUCUGCCCAUGUGACUGGGAUAACUAUUGGAAACGAUAGCUAAUACCGGAUAGGUUAAUUGGAGGCAUCUCUGAUUAAUUAAAGUAGGAUUUCUACACAGAUGGAUGAGUUUAUGGCGCAUUAGUUAGUUGGUGGGGUAACGGCCUACCAAGACGAUGAUGCGUAGCCGACCUGAGAGGGUGACCGGCCACACUGGGACUGAGACACGGCCCAGACUCCUACGGGAGGCAGCAGUAGGGAAUUUUCGGCAAUGGGCGCAAGCCUGACCGAGCAACGCCGCGUGAGUGAUUAAGGCCUUCGGGUUGUAAAGCUCUGUUGUAAGGGAAGAACAUUCAGGAUAGGAAAUGAUCUUGAACUGACGGUACCUUACCAGAAAGCCACGGCUAACUACGUGCCAGCAGCCGCGGUAAUACGUAGGUGGCAAGCGUUAUCCGGAAUUAUUGGGCGUAAAGGGUGCGUAGGCGGUUUAUUAAGUCUAUGGUGAAAGUGCGGGGCUCAACCCCGUAUGGCCAUAGAAACUGGUAGACUUGAGUGCAGGAGAGGGCAAUGGAAUUCCAUGUGUAGCGGUAAAAUGCGUAGAUAUAUGGAGGAACACCAGUGGCGAAGGCGGUUGCCUGGCCUGUAACUGACGCUGAAGCACGAAAGCGUGGGGAGCAAAUAGGAUUAGAUACCCUAGUAGUCCACGCCGUAAACGAUGAAUACUAAGUGUUGGAGAAAUUCAGUGCUGCAGUUAACGCAAUAAGUAUUCCGCCUGGGGAGUAUGCACGCAAGUGUGAAACUCAAAGGAAUUGACGGGACCCCGCACAAGCGGUGGAUUAUGUUGUUUAAUUCGACGCAACGCGAGA
This 945-nucleotide ribosomal RNA is filed under the name uncultured beta proteobacterium. RNAcentral describes it as "bacterial SSU rRNA". It matches the Rfam family "Bacterial small subunit ribosomal RNA", at positions 8 to 966 of the family's 1533-position model. Lineage: Bacteria; Pseudomonadati; Pseudomonadota; Betaproteobacteria. The record is from RNAcentral.